This 1005-nucleotide long non-coding RNA is filed under the name Homo sapiens (human). Its description in RNAcentral is "novel transcript". The record is from RNAcentral. Lineage: Eukaryota; Metazoa; Chordata; Mammalia; Primates; Hominidae.
GGUGGUAACAUGUUUCGGCGUCCUUCCACACUGUCGCGGCUUAUGUUGUUUUGCUGUUUGGGUUUGCACUGUCUUUUUGAGCUGUAACACAGCAAAGGUUUGCAGUUUCGCUCCUGAAAUCAUCGAGACCACAAACCCACCGGGAAGAACGAACAACUCCAGACGCACCGCUUUAAGAGCUGUAAUACUCGUUAGGAAGGUGUGCAGCUUGACUCCUGAGUCAGCGAGACCAUGAACCCAUCAGAAGGAAAAAACUCCGAACAUCAGAAGGAACAAGUUUCAGACACGCCACCUUUAAGAACUGUGAUACUCACCGCGAGGGCCCGCGGCUUCAUUCUUGAAGUCCGUGAGACCAAGAACCUACCAAUUCCGAAUACGUUGGGUUCAAGUGGUUCUCCUGCCUCAGACUCCCGAAUACCUGGGACUACAGGCACCCACCACGCCCGGGUAAUUGUAUGACAAUGGAGAGGUGAUUACUGCGCUGAAAAUCAGUUUCCUGAAGUGAAAAAGGGAAUCAAGUUACGUCACAGAGCCUGGUGUGAGCGGCGCUCUGUCAACACCAGCUCUUCAUGGGUUGUGGUUUCCUCCAGUUCCUGGAUGUGUGGAGUUCAUCCUCCACUGACUGGCGCCCCGGUUGACAAUGAGGUCUGGCAUCCCUGGAGUUGAGUAACUAGUUCUGGCUGCUGGUCUCCAGGUGACAUGUGUCACGUUUGAGCUAAGGUAAAAACAUCAAAAUCUGAGCAACAUCCCUGAAGAUAUAGCUGAAAAAAGCUUUUCUACACCUUGUCCUUCUUAAAAGCAAUUCAUUUCCACAUAAGAAAGUAUUAUUAGACUUCACAAUAGUUUUGAAAUAUAAUAUUAAUUUGCAAGGUUAUUAUGGCCAAUAGCUCAAAAUAACUCUUGAAACUUACUAAUGACAUCAUCCUGUUUAUUAUUCCAUGGAGCUAGGUGGCAAAUGGUAGGCAUUUCAUUUUAGUGCUCUUGAUGAAUAAAUGAACAAACAAU